Molecule: ribosomal RNA, 527 nt
Filed under: Caquetaia spectabilis
Lineage: Eukaryota; Metazoa; Chordata; Actinopteri; Cichliformes; Cichlidae
Description: partial 16S ribosomal RNA
Rfam family: Bacterial large subunit ribosomal RNA
Source: RNAcentral
GUCCCGCCUGCCCGGUGACUAAUAGUUUAACGGCCGCGGUAUUUUGACCGUGCAAAGGUAGCGCAAUCACUUGUCCUUUAAAUGAAGACCUGUAUGAAUGGCACCACGAGGGCUCAACUGUCUCCUUUCUCCUGUCAAUGAAAUUGAUCCCCCCGUGCAGAAGCGGGGAUUUACCCAUAAGACGAGAAGACCCUAUGGAGCUUCAGGCACCAGAACAGACUAUGUUAAGCACUCUAAGCACAAAAGACAAAACUAAUUAAACCCUGUUCCUAAUGCCUUUGGUUGGGGCGACCGCGGGGAAACAAAAACCCCCCAUGUGGAUUAGUAGUACCCUCCACUCCUAAAACCCAGAGCCACAGCCCUAAGUAACAGAACCUCUGACCAUUAAUGAUCCGGUAUACCCGAUCAACGAACCAAGUUACCCUAGGGAUAACAGCGCAAUCCCCUUCUAGAGUCCAUAUCGACAAGGGGGUUUACGACCUCGAUGUUGGAUCAGGACAUCCUAUUGGUGCAGCCGCUAUUAAGGG